Pipra filicauda (Wire-tailed manakin) is the source of this 2088-nucleotide long non-coding RNA. RefSeq lists it as uncharacterized. NCBI's taxonomy places the organism in Eukaryota, Metazoa, Chordata, Aves, Passeriformes, Pipridae. The record is from RefSeq and is a predicted model, not a curated record. The transcript has 3 exons.
UGCCCCUGCAGCCCAUGGAAAUCUUUGGCAGCCUGUGGAGGAGCCCAAGCUGGAGCAGGUCAGUGUCCAAAGGGGGCUGUGACUCUGUGGGAAGACUGUGCUGGAGCAGGCUCUGGGCAGGACCUUGGCCCUGUGGACAGAGGAGCAGGUUUGCUGGCAGGACCUGUGACCCUCUCUGUGACCCAGCCUGGUGCAGCCCCUUCCUGAAGGCCUCCAGCCCUGUCGGAGAGACCCACUCUGGAGCAGUCUGUGAAGAACCCACACUGAAGCAGUUCAUGGGGGACUGUCUCCCCUGGGAGGGACCCCAUACUGGGGCAGGGGAAGGGUGUGAGGAGUCCAACACCUUUGGAGGAAGGAGUAGCAGAGACAAUGUGUGAUGAACUGACCACAGCCCCAUUCCCCUUCCCUCUGUGUCACUAGAUGGGAAGAGGUCAGGAAAAUCAAGAGUGAAAUCAGGCCCAGGGAAAGGGAGAGGGUGGAGCCAUGAAGUGGGAGCAUACACAAUUCAUCUGUGAUAUAAUUAUUUACCAUGGCAACAGUUUGUGAAUGGGAUUGUGAAGUUGCGAAUAACUAAAAAGAAGCUUAAGUAGAACAGACUGAAAAAAUUAUCCUUUUCUAAACAAGUGAAGAGUCCUUUGAGGUCGGGAAAGCUUUUGUCACUCCAAUAUGUUAAAACAGGAGGAGUUGAAAAGGAUAGUUUUGGGGCUUAUUUUUCCUCCUUUGUCAAAACCCUUGCUAAAAUCUGAUGAGCAAAUGAAGAUAAAUACUUUGAAUGUGUUUGUGUAUGUGCAAAUUUGUUUUGGUGUGUGUAUGUGUGACUGACAAUGAAGAACAUUUGAAUGGACUUGAAAUGACAAGCACUAAAUCUGACAUUGCCCAGCAAGAACGAGAAAAGCUUUGGAAGAUCAAAUAUUGAAAAAUGAUGAAAAAAAAAAGUUAUACUUGUGGUGGUUGGUUUUUUUCUUGUUAUAGUCCUGAGAUAAGCAGAUGGUUCAAACUGACACUGGUAUGCAAGACCUCUAAAUUUUAGAGUCAGAGGUAGAUAGAAAAAAUCUAUUGAAAACUAGUGGUAUAAUCUUUGUAUUUUGCUGAAGGCUGCUACCAGCAAAUCUCUCCCUACAACGCAUCCUAUUCAAUCAUGUAUUGAGUAUUUUAGCACUGCUGCUCUAGAAUCAAAGAAAUCUAUUGAUGUUCUUCAAAGGCACACUGAGCUGCAUAUGAAAAGAACAACGAUAACAACAAAAACUCAUCCAGAUGCACCAUGUUUUACAGUUUACCCACCUGGGAGUUAAGUUAGGUGCCAUAUUUACCCUAACUCACAUACAUAAUGAUUUAAGAAUCAGAAUAUUUCAGAGGAAUAGAUAAAAAGCCAUCAAUACAUUUCAUUGAAUGUUAAUUAAUCCAGGAACACUUUGAAAAGUCUCCUGCCUGGUUGGUGGCAUUGGGAUUUUUUAAUAUGUUUCUCCAGCUUCCCUUAAAAGUCAGUCUUGAUAUGCCUCCACCCUGCAGAAAUGUCCCACUUUAAGUGGCAGCUAAGGUGAGCCCCAAACAAUAGAGGUCUUUUCACUGACACCAGUGGAGUCAGGAUCACAGCCAGUGAAUGAACAUGGAAAGCAGCUGCAUAGAAAAACAUUUAUUUCCCCUGGUAAUCAUGAACAAUGAUUUUAUUUUUUUUUUUAAUGCUGAGUAAGUAUGUUAUCUUAAAUGAUACUACUUAAAAGGAUCCUUACAGAACCUUCUUGAGUUACAGAACCUUCUUGAGUCACAGAACAGAAGAAAAGGAAAAAGCACAUUGAUUCCAACUGUCCUGUCUGCUCUGAAAACAUCUGGAAACAAUCCUGAACAACCUGAAGCAGACGAAAAACAUAUCUUCCCCUGGUGAUGGAGCAUGUGAUGCUUGGUUUCCUGCAGUUUUGUGGCAUGCUGUUGGGCUUUCUGACAAGAGAUGAGUUCUGACUGAAGAUUUUUCUGAAUGUGGGACAUUAAUAAAAUUUGAAUUGAUUUUCUCAUGUCUCAAGAGGUUGUGGCAUCUGUAUAGCAUUUUCCUCUUCCUUAUAUCAUGGCAACAAGCAAGUUAACAAUUGAUUG